Molecule: long non-coding RNA, 255 nt
Organism: Lepidothrix coronata (blue-crowned manakin)
Lineage: Eukaryota; Metazoa; Chordata; Aves; Passeriformes; Pipridae
Exons: 3
Source: RefSeq, a predicted model, not a curated record
GGGGCAGGCGAUGCCAGUGCCACCCACAGAGCGACAGUGUUCGGGGGCUGCGGAUCCUUCGGAGACAGUUUGUAGCAUCCAGGAGCUAUUUUCCUCAGGCACUUGGAGGAAAUGCAAGGCACUUUUGAGGCACUGGAUCUAUCCAUGUAACUAUGAGCAGAGGCAGAGAUGUUCCUACCAAGAACCUUUCCAGUAAUGCUGCCACAGUGAAUGCUGAUGCUUAAACUAAGCUCCAAUAGACAUUUUAAAUCCAGA